This 497-nucleotide ribosomal RNA is filed under the name uncultured bacterium. RNAcentral describes it as "partial 16S ribosomal RNA". It matches the Rfam family "Bacterial small subunit ribosomal RNA", at positions 28 to 507 of the family's 1533-position model. The record is from RNAcentral.
GAUGAACGCUGGCGGCGUGCCUAAUACAUGCAAGUCGAGCGAACAGACGAGGAGCUUGCUCCUCUGACGUUAGCGGCGGACGGGUGAGUAACACGUGGAUAACCUACCUAUAAGACUGGGAUAACUUCGGGAAACCGGAGCUAAUACCGGAUAAUAUAUUGAACCGCAUGGUUCAAUAGUGAAAGACGGUUUUGCUGUCACUUAUAGAUGGAUCCGCGCCGCAUUAGCUAGUUGGUAAGGUAACGGCUUACCAAGGCGACGAUGCGUAGCCGACCUGAGAGGGUGAUCGGCCACACUGGAACUGAGACACGGUCCAGACUCCUACGGGAGGCAGCAGUAGGGAAUCUUCCGCAAUGGGCGAAAGCCUGACGGAGCGACGCCGCGUGAGUGAUGAAGGUCUUCGGAUCGUAAAACUCUGUUAUUAGGGAAGAACAAAUGUGUAAGUAACUAUGCACGUCUUGACGGUACCUAAUCAGAAAGCAACGGCUAACUACGUG